Molecule: long non-coding RNA, 511 nt
Organism: Contarinia nasturtii (swede midge)
Lineage: Eukaryota; Metazoa; Arthropoda; Insecta; Diptera; Cecidomyiidae
Exons: 2
Source: RefSeq, a predicted model, not a curated record
UUAAAAGAGAUAACAUCAAAACUCUAUUUAUAAGUAGCUCUUGAAGUCUUGCUAAGCAGACUUGUGUUAUCUAGAAAAGAUGUUUCAACUUAAAAUUUUUACUUUGUUAUUUAUUGGCCUGGCUAUUUUUCUGUUCGCUGGAAAUGUAAAUGCAGCUGAGUCUAUAGGUUCCAAUAACUCUCACUUAUCAUCACAUGGCAGCAAUCAACCUAUUGAUCAAGAAGAAUCAACAGUAGAUGGACCAGGAAACUCAAAUGUGACACAUGAAACAGUAGAAAAGUCACCCGCUUCAAGCGGAUCUUCACAAAAACCAUCAAAUAGUCGCGGUAAAGCUGUUGACCACGGUAAAGCCAAGUCAAAGCCAGGGCCGUCACAUAAAAAAAGCGGCAAAAAAUAGAGCGAAUACAUACAUCUACUUCAUAGAUUACAUAGUACAUCAGUUUUUCUGAAAUUUGGAUGCUUUAUUUUCUAUGAACCAGCAAUAAAAUAAAAUUCAUUUUCAAUCUCGCAA